CUUGUACUCCCUCGGUCCCGAAUUACUUGUCACAGAAAUAGAUAGAAAUGGAUGUAUCUGGAACUAAAAAUACGUAUAGAUAUAUCCAUUUUUGCGAGAAGUAAUUCUGGACGGAGGAAGUAUGCU
This is a non-coding RNA of Hordeum vulgare subsp. vulgare (domesticated barley), 126 nucleotides long. NCBI's taxonomy places the organism in Eukaryota, Viridiplantae, Streptophyta, Magnoliopsida, Poales, Poaceae. The record is from Rfam.